AUUCCAGCUCCAAUAGCGUAUAUUAAUGUUGUUGCAGUUAAAAAGCUCGUAGUUGGAUUUCUGGUCGGAACGCCGGUCCGGCUCCGCAAGGGGUCGUGUAUUGGUUUCUCCUGCCAUCCUCAGGGGGAGCUGCGCUGGUAUUCAUUUAUCGGCGUGGUUACGCCUGUCGUUUACUGUGAACAAAUUAGAGUGUUCAAAGCAAGGUGUACUUGAAUACAUUAGCAUGGAAUAAUAAGAUAGGACUUUGGUGGUUCUUUUUAGAUAUUUUGUUGGUUUGCACGCCAAAGUAAUGAUUAAUAGGAGCAGUUGGGGGUAUUCGUAUUCAAUUGUCAGAGGUGAAAUUCUUGGAUUUAUAGAAGACGAACUACUGCGAAAGCAUUUACCAAGGAUGUUUUCAUUA
RNAcentral lists this ribosomal RNA (400 nucleotides) under Pedinellales sp. Its description in RNAcentral is "partial small subunit ribosomal RNA". It matches the Rfam family "Eukaryotic small subunit ribosomal RNA", at positions 582 to 975 of the family's 1831-position model. Lineage: Eukaryota; Dictyochophyceae; Pedinellales. The record is from RNAcentral.